GGUGGGGGGGGGGGGGGGGGGGGGGGGGGGGGGGGGGGGGGGCGGGGGGGGGGGGGCUUGCGGGGGCGGGGGGCGGGGGGCGGACGGGGGAGGGAGGGAUGGGAAUGUAGUUGUUCGGGGGGGGUAAGGUAGGGAAACUUACGCUAAGGACGCAUACGAACUUCGUUGUCAAGCAUGGGAUCUUCGGACCUGGCCCGAUUGACUGUGCCGAUGUCGGAUUAGCUAGUUGGCGGGGUAAAGGCCCACCAAGGCGACGAUCCGUAGCUGGUCUGAGAGGAUGAUCAGCCACACUGGAACUGAGACACGGUCCAGACUCCUACGGGAGGCAGCAGUGGGGAAUAUUGGACAAUGGGCGCAAGCCUGAUCCAGCCAUACCGCGUGGGUGAAGAAGGCCUUCGGGUUGUAAAGCCCUUUUGUUGGGAAAGAAAAGCAGCAGGUUAAUACCCCGCUGUUCUGACGGUACCCAAAGAAUAAGCACCGGCUAACUUCGUG
Molecule: ribosomal RNA, 492 nt
Filed under: uncultured bacterium
Lineage: Bacteria
Description: partial 16S ribosomal RNA
Rfam family: Bacterial small subunit ribosomal RNA
Source: RNAcentral